AAAUUGAAGAGUUUGAUCAUGGCUCAGAUUGAACGCUGGCGGCAGGCCUAACACAUGCAAGUCGAGCGGUAACACAGAGAGCUUGCUCUCGGGUGACGAGCGGCGGACGGGUGAGUAAUGUCUGGGAAACUGCCUGAUGGAGGGGGAUAACUACUGGAAACGGUAGCUAAUACCGCAUAACGUCGCAAGACCAAAGAGGGGGACCUUCGGGCCUCUUGCCAUCAGAUGUGCCCAGAUGGGAUUAGCUAGUAGGUGGGGUAACGGCUCACCUAGGCGACGAUCCCUAGCUGGUCUGAGAGGAUGACCAGCCACACUGGAACUGAGACACGGUCCAGACUCCUACGGGAGGCAGCAGUGGGGAAUAUUGCACAAUGGGCGCAAGCCUGAUGCAGCCAUGCCG
This 400-nucleotide ribosomal RNA is filed under the name Enterobacter hormaechei. RNAcentral describes it as "bacterial SSU rRNA". It matches the Rfam family "Bacterial small subunit ribosomal RNA", at positions 1 to 399 of the family's 1533-position model. The record is from RNAcentral. Lineage: Bacteria; Pseudomonadati; Pseudomonadota; Gammaproteobacteria; Enterobacterales; Enterobacteriaceae.